RNAcentral lists this ribosomal RNA (433 nucleotides) under uncultured bacterium. RNAcentral's name for it is "partial 16S ribosomal RNA". It matches the Rfam family "Bacterial small subunit ribosomal RNA", at positions 29 to 507 of the family's 1533-position model. The record is from RNAcentral.
AACGAACGCUGGCGGCAUGCCUAACACAUGCAAGUCGAACGAUCCCUUCGGGGAUAGUGGCGCACGGGUGCGUCACGCGUGGGAACCUGCCCUUAGGUUCGGAAUAACUCAGAGACAUUUGAGCUAAUACCGGAUAAUGUCUUCGGACCAAAGAUUUAUCGCCUUUGGAUGGGCCCGCGUUGGAUUAGCUAGUUGGUGGGGUAAAGGCCUACCAAGGCGACGAUCCAUAGCUGGUCUGAGAGGAUGGUCAGCCACACUGGGACUGAGACGCGGCCCAGACUCCUACGGGAGGCGGCAGUGGGGAAUAUUGGACAAUGGGCGAAAGCCUGAUCCAGCAAUGCCGCGUGAGUGAUGAAGGCCGGAGAGUUGUAAAGCUCUUUUACCCGGGAUGAUAAUGACAGUACCGGGAGAAUAAGCCCCGGCUAACUCCGUG